UGGCCUGUGAGGAAAUUUCUAUUAAAGAACACCAUCUUUCGGGACUGAUUGAUCUUUUUCAAAGAUUUUGAUGUUAAUUCUGCAAUUCUGAGGCCG
Molecule: non-coding RNA, 96 nt
Organism: Helianthus annuus (common sunflower)
Lineage: Eukaryota; Viridiplantae; Streptophyta; Magnoliopsida; Asterales; Asteraceae
Source: Rfam